GACGAACGCUGGCGGCGUGCCUAAUACAUGCAAGUAGAACGCUGAAGGAGGAGCUUGCUUCUCUGGAUGAGUUGCGAACGGGUGAGUAACGCGUAGGUAACCUGCCUUGUAGCGGGGGAUAACUAUUGGAAACGAUAGCUAAUACCGCAUAAGAGUAGCUGUUGCAUUACAUUUGCUUAAAAGGUGCAAUUGCAUCACUACCAGAUGGACCUGCGUUGUAUUAGCUAGUUGGUGGGGUAACGGCUCACCAAGGCGACGAUACAUAGCCGACCUGAGAGGGGGGGCGGCCACACUGGGACUGAGACACGGCCCAGACUCCUUCGGGAGGCAGCAGGAGGGAAUCUUCGGCAAUGGACGGAAGUCUGACCGAGCAACGCAGCGUGAGUGAAGAAGGUUUUCGGUUCGGAAAGCUCUGUUGUAAGAGAAGAACGAGUGUGAGAGUGGAAAGUUCACACUGUGACGGUAUCUGACCAGAAAGGGACGGCUAACUACGUG
This 495-nucleotide ribosomal RNA is filed under the name uncultured bacterium. RNAcentral describes it as "partial 16S ribosomal RNA". It matches the Rfam family "Bacterial small subunit ribosomal RNA", at positions 28 to 507 of the family's 1533-position model. The record is from RNAcentral.